AAAACUGGCUUCUGCAGUGAGUGGCACAUGUAGAGCAACUUGUUGGCUCUUUGUGCGGAAUCAACAUCAAGAUAUUUUGGAAGCACAAUGGUUCUUAGAUCUUUGAUCCC
RNAcentral lists this small nuclear RNA (110 nucleotides) under Chinchilla lanigera (long-tailed chinchilla). RNAcentral describes it as "U11 spliceosomal RNA (ENSCLAG00000020803.1)". It matches the Rfam family "U11 spliceosomal RNA". Lineage: Eukaryota; Metazoa; Chordata; Mammalia; Rodentia; Chinchillidae. The record is from Rfam by way of RNAcentral.